GACGAACGCUGGCGGCGUGCUUAACACAUGCAAGUCGAACGGACAGGCCCUGCGUUUGUGCGGUGCUCGAUAGGGGAAGGCGGGAGUAACACACGAGGAUCCCGUCCCUGUCAUACGGAGAACAUCUCGAGACUCCGGCUCAUAUCGCAUAGGAUCUCCUGCUGCACGUGGUGGGAUGGAGAACUCCGGCGGUUGGGGAUCGACUCGCGGCUUAUCAGCUGGUUGGUCGGGUAGUGGCGGACCAAGGCUUUGACGGGUAGCCGGCGUGAGAGGGUGACCGGCCACAAUGGGACUGAGAGACGGCCCAGAAUCCUACGGGACGCAGCAGUGGGGAAUAUUGCGCAAUGGGCGGAAGCCUGAUGCAGCGACGCCGCGUGCGGGAUGACGGCCUUCGGGUUGUAAACCGCUUUCGCCUGUGACGAAGCGUGAGUGACGGUACCGGGUCAAGAAGCACCGGCUAACUACGUG
RNAcentral lists this ribosomal RNA (468 nucleotides) under uncultured bacterium. RNAcentral's name for it is "partial 16S ribosomal RNA". It matches the Rfam family "Bacterial small subunit ribosomal RNA", at positions 28 to 507 of the family's 1533-position model. The record is from RNAcentral.